GACGGAAGGGGCAAGCGUUGAGCGUAUGGACUGGGCCUAAAACGUGGGUAGGCUGUUUGUCCGAUGCUUAUUUAACACCCUCUUUUAGAGGAUAAAAUAGUUUAAGGAUAAUCUGGGGAAAUUUAAGGGAUCAGAGAACUGUUCAAGGACCGGUAGAAUGGGAACAUAUGAAAAGGAAUACCCAUAGCAAAGGCGCUGUUCUAGAUUUUUUCCGACGCUAAGCCACGGAAGCGCGGGUAUCAAAAGGG
Molecule: ribosomal RNA, 248 nt
Filed under: uncultured bacterium
Lineage: Bacteria
Description: partial 16S ribosomal RNA
Rfam family: Bacterial small subunit ribosomal RNA
Source: RNAcentral